RNAcentral lists this ribosomal RNA (976 nucleotides) under Stenotrophomonas maltophilia. RNAcentral's name for it is "bacterial SSU rRNA". The stretch from base 1 to 533 matches the Rfam family "Bacterial small subunit ribosomal RNA". The record is from RNAcentral. Lineage: Bacteria; Pseudomonadati; Pseudomonadota; Gammaproteobacteria; Lysobacterales; Lysobacteraceae.
GGCAGCACAGGAGAGCUUGCUCUCUGGGUGGCGAGUGGCGGACGGGUGAGGAAUACAUCGGAAUCUACUCUGUCGUGGGGGAUAACGUAGGGAAACUUACGCUAAUACCGCAUACGACCUACGGGUGAAAGCAGGGGAUCUUCGGACCUUGCGCGAUUGAAUGAGCCGAUGUCGGAUUAGCUAGUUGGCGGGGUAAAGGCCCACCAAGGCGACGAUCCGUAGCUGGUCUGAGAGGAUGAUCAGCCACACUGGAACUGAGACACGGUCCAGACUCCUACGGGAGGCAGCAGUGGGGAAUAUUGGACAAUGGGCGCAAGCCUGAUCCAGCCAUACCGCGUGGGUGAAGAAGGCCUUCGGGUUGUAAAGCCCUUUUGUUGGGAAAGAAAUCCAGCUGGCUAAUACCCGGUUGGGAUGACGGUACCCAAAGAAUAGCACCGGCUAACUUCGUGCCAGCAGCCGCGGUAAUACGAAGGGUGGGUUCUUUACGUUGAAUUAAAGUACCAACACAUGCCUGGUUGGCGGUGACCUCCCUUAUGCAUUCAUUGCCUCUCGGGGACUUGCCCCGAAGCGGGAAAUAAGACGUGUUUACGUACCGCAUCCAAGUGUACCAAGAACUGUUUGAAGUUAGAGGGACUGCAUAGCGGGAUCUCUACCUGGUCGACCCCACCUUAGGGCCAAUGUUAGUUUGGUCGGGUCCAUCCUCCGCUUGGAAGUCCUCAGGAUUUUACAAGUAAUUGGUGCCAUGGAUCCGCUCCCGAUCCAAACUGAGUUCCCGGUCCCGGGGGAUUCCGAGUAGACCACCGUUUCAUCCCGAUUGACCCCACCUUCGGAGUUAGGUUUUUAUUCGAAACGGGGAACCUUUAAUUACCAGUCGGAAGAAAUUUAAACGGGGUGGUCUUUUGGAACUUCCACCCGGGUUAGGGCCUUGAUUUUUCCGGGAGGGGGUUUUACCCCCGGGGGUUCCCCCGGUUUUUUG